GGAAUCUUGCGCAAUGGGCGAAAGCCUGACGCAGCAACGCCGCGUGCGGGAAGAAGGCUUUCGGGCUGUAAACCGCUUUCAGUAGGAACGAAACUGACGGUACCUACAGAAGAAGGAGCGGCCAACUAUGUGCCAGCAGCCGCGGUGACACAUAGGCUCCAAGCGUUGUCCGGAUUUAUUGGGCGUAAAGAGCUCGUAGGCGGUUGAGUAAGUCGGGUGUGAAAACUUUGGGCUUAACCCAAAGAUGCCACUCGAUACUGCUUUGACUUGAGUUCGGUAGGGGAGUGGGGAAUUCCUUGUGUAGCGGUGAAAUGCGCAGAUAUAAGGAGGAACACCGGUGGCGAAGGCGCCACUCUGGGCCGAUACUGACGCUGAGGAGCGAAAGCGUGGGGAGCAAACAGGAUUAGAUACCCUGGUAGUCCACGCGGUAAACGGUGGUCACUAGGUGUGGGUCUCUUCAAACGAGAUCUGCGCCGUCGCUAACGCAUUAAGUGACCCGCCUGGGGAGUACGGUCGCAAGACUAAAACUCAAAUGAAUUGACGG
This 544-nucleotide ribosomal RNA is filed under the name uncultured bacterium. RNAcentral describes it as "bacterial SSU rRNA". It matches the Rfam family "Bacterial small subunit ribosomal RNA", at positions 358 to 916 of the family's 1533-position model. The record is from RNAcentral.